UGCACUCACUACUGCAAGUCGCUCUGGAUAAGAGUGUCUGCUAAAUGACUAAAA
This is a non-coding RNA of Salmo salar (Atlantic salmon), 54 nucleotides long. NCBI's taxonomy places the organism in Eukaryota, Metazoa, Chordata, Actinopteri, Salmoniformes, Salmonidae. The record is from Rfam.